Molecule: long non-coding RNA, 3999 nt
Filed under: Portunus trituberculatus (swimming crab)
Lineage: Eukaryota; Metazoa; Arthropoda; Malacostraca; Decapoda; Portunidae
Description: uncharacterized LOC123519984
Source: RNAcentral
UCCAGAAUUUAUCAGAGAAUUGAUUGAUAAUGUAUAUGAUUUUUGUUACGAAUGAAUAUUUUUCAAGUCAUGACUUUUUUCAACUCUAACUUAUGCCUUCCUCGUAUCCCUAACAAUCUUGGGGGGAUCUGUGGGAAAUUGGGGUUUUUGGGUGGGAAAACAUUAAAUUGAGCAAUGUGUGUUGCCAAAAGAAGUUGAAAAUCAACAAAAUAACAAAAAAUCUCUGAAAAUACUUUGUUGGUGGUGGCGCUGGCAGCAAGCAGUGCUUUGUUAUUGCUAAGCAGUGUUGCCAAUGAUUCACUAGGUUUCUGGCUGUAUCCAAUACAUUAAAUGAAAACCCCAAAAGCUAACUAACCAAACCCAACAUUAUAACCUUGCUAGGGGGAGGGGGGGGCUGUGCCCUCCUAGAUGCCCUCAGGGGUUACUAAAUAAAUCCUAACAUUAAAACCUUUUAGCCAGCGGGGCUGCUACCCACAACCUUGCCUCAAGUUACAAACCAAACCCAACAUUUCUAGAAGAUCUUGUAAUGUUUUCUGUGGACAAUUUAUAGUUUCUCCCAACCAAUAAUUUUUUGAUAUGCAUUAAGUCGAAGUUAUAAUGUUGAGUUUGGUUAGUAACUCUUAGGGGAUAGCCUUUGCAAUGGACCCAAAUCCAGGGGUAGUGAAUUGUUGGCAGCGCUGCUCAACAUUAAUAGCAAGGUUUGCUGUCAUCACAGCCAACCGCAUUUAUGUGAUUUUGUUGAUUACUGAUAUCUUUUUGCAAUGCACAUUACUCAAUUUAAUGUCCCCCUCACCCAAAAACUCAGAUUUCCCACAGAUCCCCCAAGAUAGUUGAGAAUGGGAGGUAGGCAUAAGUGAGAACUGAAAAAUUCGAACUUAACUUGAAGAAUAUACAUUUGUGAUGGAAAUGGCAUAUACCAUCAAUCAAUUCACUAGAUUUCUCACCAGAAAAACAAAAGUCACAUCAGAGAUUCCAUGGUUGGAUGAAACUGCAAAUUGACCAUAUUUUUUUCUUAAUGCCAACUCUGAUAGUGUGUGUAUUUAUUGUAAUUAUAUUUUAACAAAAGCAUUGACAUACAUCUAAAAAUAGAGUAAGAAAAAUAAAAUCUAUCAGAGCUCUUGUAAAGAAUUACCAACUUUAUUCUUUGGUUAAGGUGAAUCUCAUCCUGUGUGUUAUCUUUGAUAUCUAACAAUUCUAUUGGUCAUUUUCAAUUGUUGUUUGAGAAGUACAAUUGGUAGAGAAAGGUGGCAGGGAAAUGCAGUCGAACAAUGGCUGCAGUAUAUUUAUAUAAAAGUACAAGUUCAAAUAAACAAAGAUAAUGAUAAUGAAACUCUUCCAGGAGUUCCUCUUGUCCAACCUCCAAGACUGCACAGGACUGUGGAGAUAAGCGAGCAGUGUGACUCAUGGCCGGGGUACAGAGGGAGGUGAGGCUGCUCCAGGUCAAGCAUCAGGUCCCAGGGUGAGGGACAAUGGUGGGGAAUGCCUUUGGGAAGGAUUCCAGAACACUCCAUGACAGUUCCAGCUGGAGGGUAGUGUGUUCUCAAAGACCCAGCAGUCACUGUCUCUCUGCACUGGGGCCAUCAGCUUAGGCCAGUGUUGGGCUCUGCCCCUGGUAACACUGGUUUGAGGUCAUGCCAGGCACCUCAAGAGACCAUAGAAGUUGCUGCUGCUCAGGUGUGAUGUUUGUGUCCAAGUACCCGAUAUAUUCCUAAAGUCCGUGAAAUAGUGCUUCUCAGGCCUCACAAUAUCUCAUCAAAUCUUUGACGAGGAGCUCUUGGCAGGAGGAUACACAACCCUUGAGUAGAGGACUACACCAUCUUGCAGAGCUCUUGGUAGGAGGAUACACAACCCUCGAGUCAGAAGGUGUUGUGCAUGGAUAGGAGAGGAAACCUUGUCCAAGGCCAACUGAAGACCUCCAUGGACACUGCUGCUGCUGCUGCUUGAUCUUGGUCAGGAUUUCUUCUGAUGCAGGCCUUUUUGUCCACAGCUCCUGUAGGGAAAAAGAUAAAGACCAGCAAAUUGCAGACCAGACAUCUAGGAUGCCACAUUCUCUUCAAGAACUUUUUCACAGCUUCCUUCAUCCUUUGCACUUGUCUCCACAGUCCUAGCAACAACCGUUACCUUAUUGUUCUCACUGCUAAAUUCUACACUUAGAAGACUCUUCCAUACCCAUCUACAACAUCCAGACUUCUGAGCUCAUCUGCCAAUUCACUCUUGACUAACACCUACUGCUGCAUUCAUGCUUCUCAUUCUGGCAGCCAGUUCCUCCAAAUCGCUUAACUCCUUUUCACUCUACCCAGUCUGCUUUCACUCUUUAGCUAAUGUGUUUCAAUAUCCCCUAGUGCAUAUCUAACCAUUGUGUGUGCAUUAUGCUAACUAAUUUUGCACUCAGUCCAUCAAAACCAUUAAGCAUAUCUAUUCAUUUCCUUACCUAGUAUACCUAUAUGUGCAUAUAUAUAUCCAAAACAACCACCCUCACUCCAGCAUACUCUGUCUUGGAAAUACCAAACUUCCUGCUGUUCUCGGUCACUCGCUACUAUCAUGUACACCACAGUUACCAGCAAUCUUUCAUACUUACUAUGCUCACUUAUGUACUCUACCUCAACAGCUAAAAUAUCCUCUCAUGGCACUGUUUCUUAUAUCUAGUUUUAUACUCUUAAUUAAAAUUCCUUUCCUUUCUAUACACAAAAGCUACUCAACCUCCUACUCUGUCCUGUACUUUCUGAUCAUCACAUAGUCACUACCGUCCACUAUCAUCCCUCAGGCGUCUCACAGUCAUUCCUGUGUCGAAAUGCCACUUACCGAGUUCCUUUGUUCACAUUCUCAAAUUUUCCAAUGUCCCAUUCUCUCACAUUCACACCCAAUCUUCAUACAUCCUCUUACCCAGUACUUGCCUCCUCUUCUGCUUACAUUCACACACCCUCUUCCUAGUUUCUCUUUCAUUCUGGUGUCACCGCUGCUGCUGCUGCCUUGAUCUUGAAGCUACAGGUGGCUUGGGAGGACUCCUGGACAAGGCUUAUGGAUCAGCUACUCUGUAGAAGAAAAACAAGUUAUAUAAUAUUUCAAUAUUAAUUGUUCUACAUAUGUCAUGCCUCUGCACACUCUUUCACAUGCUCUAUCAUAAUUUCUAAACAGUCCCAGCAGUACUUUACCAUCCAUUAUUCCUUCUACCUGUCUUCCUUUUUUUCAUUCCUAUUAUGCCUCAAUUCUGUAACAAUCACUUGCAACUUUUGUUUCUCUCUCCUAACUCGCUCCAGCACCAAAUGAGGUUCUCUUCCUCUCCCAUGUAUCAUAUUUUGCUGCUCAACUAAGACCAUCAGUAUUUCCUUGCAUUAAUCAUACCACCUUCCAUACAUUGUGGCAUCUUUGUCUUUGUACCAUUCAUUCCAGAGUAUUCUUUCAUUCCAUCUCCUAAUCAUUCAGUUCUACAGACUACCAUUUUAAUCUUCCUUUGUCUCACGUCAGUUUCCACUCUACCUCCUCUUAUCACAACCCAUUCAUGCUCAUUUUGAUUGCUCCCAGCCAUUCUCAUCCCCCACACAACUUAAAAUGCAUUCUUGCCUGUCAUUUUCAUGCACUUCAUUUGCUUCCAUUUGCACUCCAUAGAUAGACCUUUCUUCUUACUUUUAUUUACUUUCUUUGGUCUCCAGUGUCACUCAUCCUAAUCUCACCCCAAACACCUCUUCUAUACCAUCCAGAACCCAUCCUCUGCAUGCCCAACACGCCGCUUAACUUGCCCUUUUUCUUCCACUACCUGUAUGUUCCUCUUGCAUUGUGUUGGUCUCUGCAGGACACCCAUAAAUGCCACAUUCUUGUCUUGAGGUUCUGACUACACCAUCCACCACAUUCUUCAGUCUUCUCUACAACAUGGUCCAGGUUGACCCAAAGCAUACUUCUGCCUGCUUCUGCUUCCACCAUUAAGUAGUCUCCCUGCAACAUUUUAUUGAUAGUUAUUGAUGGUUUAUUUCAUCAUCCACUGUAAAUAAAGAUUUCCCUUUA